This 252-nucleotide ribosomal RNA is filed under the name uncultured bacterium. RNAcentral's name for it is "partial 16S ribosomal RNA". It matches the Rfam family "Bacterial small subunit ribosomal RNA", at positions 524 to 776 of the family's 1533-position model. The record is from RNAcentral.
UACGGAGGAUGCGAGCGUUAUCCGGAUUUAUUGGGUUUAAAGGGUGCGCAGGCGGCACGGCAAGCCGGCGGUCAAAUCGCGGGGCUCAACCCCGCCCAGCCGUCGGAACUGCCGGGCUAGAGUGGGCGAGAAGUGCGCGGAAUGCGUGGUGUACCGGUGAAAUGCAUAGAUAUCACGCAGAACUCCGAUUGCGAAGGCAGCGCACCGGCGCCCUACUGACGCUCAGGCACGAAAGCGUGGGUAUCGAACAGG